RNAcentral lists this long non-coding RNA (6465 nucleotides) under Gallus gallus (chicken). The record is from RNAcentral. Lineage: Eukaryota; Metazoa; Chordata; Aves; Galliformes; Phasianidae.
CUCGUGGAAGCCGUGGGCGAACUGGCACUUCUCGCCGUACUUGCAGGCGCCGCUCUCUUCGAAGGGGCGGCACAGCUCCGUCUUGUAGCGCGUGGAGUUGAUGGGCGCCCCGCCGCCCCCCGAGCCGCCCCCCUUGCCGGCCGCCGCCUGCUGCUGCUGGAGCUGCUGCAUCAGGUGCUGGCUGCGCUCGCCGUUCUCGCUGAAGGAGCGGUCCCGGAACUUGUUCUCCUUGUUCAGCAGGGCCGUGGGGCUGCCGCCGCCGCCGCCCCCGCCGCCGGAGCCCGGCUCCUUCAGGCCGCCGAACGACGAGGAGGACGAGGACGAGGAGGACGACGACGAGCUGGAGCCGGUGGGGCUGGGGAACUUGGCGCCGGCGGCCAGGGCCGGCAGGUUGCUGGUCGAGUGCCGCCGCAGGAAGCCCGGCGCGAAGCUGGAGCCGGAGGAGGCGACCGGGGUGCCCACGGCCUUCUUGUCCAGCAUGCUGCUGAGGUUUUUUCUUCUAGAAGAAGAGAAAAUUUACAAGAACAGCAUAUAAAGGAAGUCUUACACACUGGAAAAACACGAAGGCUGAACACAGCACUGCUCCAAAGACACAGACUGGCCUCCUGUGAACUGCAGACACCACUCAACUGAUCUGCCAACCAAGCACAUGAGAUCUGCCUCUGAGGCCAGAGGAAAACACAGAGGCAUCCUGUUGAUAAGGCUGAAACUUAAGCUUCAGAUGUUUGGGAAAGAGCCUGCCUAUGCCAGGCUUCUAAUGGCCUCCUGGCACUUGAGGUGUGACACAGGCUGAAGGGCAGAUCAGAGCCUGGCCCUGCCGCAGGGCACCAGAGCGGCUGCAUGGCUCCCCCACCACUUCCCCUGCUGCCAUCCCUCACACAGCACAUUUGAUGCUAGAGCAGUUCAGGACCCGAGCUGGAGACUACCACUGCCACACAGGCAUCAAAGCGGUGGAACAGGUAUGCAAAGGUGUAUCUACUCCCUUAGCUUUUGAGUGCUGAAGUGAUAUAGAGAAAGAACAGCAAGCAAAGUUACUGCACCCUUAUAUGAUUUAAAAGGCAUGAAAUGCUUUCAGCGGGGAGAAUGUUUUGCACCUUUGAUGACCCCCAGCUCUAAAAGUAACAGCACAGAAUGCUGUAAGCAUAUACACAUAUUCUUUUAAGGUACCCACAAAAGGUGCAUGUGUUCUAAAACUUUAACAUGUGUGUCUUCACUGACAUAUUAACUGCUGACGAGAACUGUUCCUCACAUCAGUUUGCCUGCAAAACACGACUGCUUUUUAAGAAGCCACAAACUGUAGAUUACCUGAUACUGAGCUCAUGACUCACACUAUGACUUCAGCAGCGGUCUGAGCACACUGGAAGCUCUCUAUGGGCAGGUGGUUCUCUCCAUCACACCAUCCUCCAGCCAUGGCCUCGAUGCGUACCUCCCGCCAGCUCAGGUCGUCUGCUGAGCACCUGGUGAACUGAUGCUCAGGACAGCAAAACAGGGAUUUGGUGUGCAACAAAGUGUGUGGGCUUUCCUACUCAGUGAGUGAGCUGAACUGCAUGCCCUGCAGCCUGAAUGGGCACGGCUGGAGCUGGGGACAGUGAAGCCCCACGACCCCUGCACAGAGCGGGGAUGCAAGAGGAAAGAGAGCAGGACCUCCCCUGGCAGUAGGCUGUCUGGGCGGGUCAGCCAGCACCCAAAGCUUCACCAGCAGAGCCAUGUAAACAGCCUGCUAACCGAGAUGACUCAAACAGCUAAUAAUAGCCUCUCAUAAUGUAAACAAUUACGUAUUUUAAACAAGUGAAUGAAAAAACUCAAACGACAGAUUUCUAGAAGCCGCUCCUGACUGAUAGCCACAGGGACUAAAGUGGCAGAAAGUGACCCUGGAGAUGUGGCUACCAGCAAACACUGGACAAUACCAGAGUGCUCCUACUACAGUGGUUCUGCAGGCUAUCAGACUGUGUCAAAAAUGAUCACUUAUCAGUUUUUAAAACUCUAAAGCACUUAUAUGUUCCAAUGUGUAAAAAUAUAAGCAACGUGAUAGGCAUCUCGUUAAAUAAGCCAUUACAGGGGCUGAAGUACCAAAAAAAAUCCUCCAUGCCUUAAACAAGUAGUUACAAGCAGAAGAAUUAAUAGUACUCCCUGAAAUGAAAAACAAAAGAUAACCAUCAGGUACUACAUGUUUUUUUCAUUUUCAGGAAGUGAAUUUUCAUAAAGGGAAAGGGGUUAAGUACUGCACUGUUUUAGUCUUCUUUGUUAAUCCACCCACAUAAAAAUUAGACCUCCUACAUGCACAUUCAUAUACUCCAAAAGCUUUGAUCAUGCCAGAUGUAAAUAUUUCUUCUAGUCACAUAUUACAUGUCCUCAAACUAUACAAUUGUUCUCUGUUAAAGCCUUGGUGAUAUUAUGGAGAGCUGAAAGGACAUAUUAAGAGCACACGCAUGGAAGACUUCAACAACAACUGUGAUAAAAUACGGGCAAAAGAGAACUUAACCUUGCCUAACAAACCAUUUUGUAAUUGUUCUUGCAUUGGAAAUAGUUAACUGAAGUUCAUUUUUGAUCAGAGGGUCAUGCAGUUUGUACAAAUGUAUAUACUGCGUUCAUAAUGAAAAUAAGAAGCACUACAAGGGAGCUUAGCACCACAGUCCCAAGAGGAAGCCUCGCAAAGAUCAGCGCACCAACAGUGAGAAUGUUGUCAAGGAGAAGGUAGAAGAUAGGUUGAAACUGAAAUUACAGAGAAUAUUUUAGCUAGACUAGGUAUAUUCUAAUGCAGUAAAAAAAAGUGCUGCCUACCAACCAAGGCAUAACCAGUACUACAUUGCUGUCAACACAGUACUUCAUAGCACCUUGGUACAGUAGGGCAGUGGGAUUCUUGCUUCAGAGACAGCAUGCACAGCAACCAAGUCCACUGAAUACUUACUUGGCAAAACUAGGCUGAUGCAUCACCUUAACGAGAUGAUGAAUUCAGCAAGAGGUUAGUUUCCCAUCCAAAGAUGUUAGACCCAGCAUCACUCUCAUUAAUACCUGUAAUGUUGGAUUUGCAGGCAGAACAUUUCAGGAACUGAAUCAGUACUCACUUUGGUAGCACUGAAGGUUUUCUUUUGGGUGUUAUGUAAUAACUAGGGUUACCCUUAUUGGGUAAUAGGUAUACCCUAUGUAUCAAGUGUAAGAGAACUGAGUGAUGCACUGCUGCAGAUGUGACUCCGUUUAAAACACUCGGCUCAUGUAUGUGUGUGCUUCCCCCAAAAAUAUCUCAAAACUAAAAAAAAAAAAAAAAAUUUAAAAUCCCACUGGUCCAUCCUGUGAGUUACAUAAUCUGGCAAAUAAAUAAAGGUUAGAAACUGUAUUUCUUAUGUUGAGAUCACCUGCUUGCAUACUCUGAGUUAGACAGGAAUUGUGCAACUCCACAGCAGUGCAGCGGGCAGGUGUGCAGCCACCAGAAAAACCAGGGGACCAAAGAACGCAGUAGCAGCAGACAAAAAGCCAGGGGGCUUUCAUUCCCACUCAGCCUCCACAAACACCAUUGCAGUGUGACCCUCCUUCAGGAUGUGAAGAUUAAAAGGACAAGGGAGAGGUAAAGCAACAAAAAAACCAAAGAAAAUGCAAAACUGUCAACCUCCAGGGAGCUGGCAGAGGGCUGUUCACAAAGGUGCUUGUUCAUUGCACUGUGUCAACUGAAGUUACAAACAUCGCAAUUUCCAGUUUAUAAAAUGACCGGUUAUGUAAAACCUAAUAUAUAAGCAGAUUCCUCUUCAUAGUGUUUCAUAAAAAUCAAAGGCAAUUGGAUCAUUUCUAUCCUCUGGAGAAAUAGCAUUCCGCCGGUGACGUGCAACUACUUCAUCUGUUUUCCAUUUUCCUGCCCGAAUCUGCUUUCCAGCCACACUUUUUCAGGGUGACUUUAAAAAGAGGCCUUCCUGACAUCAUGCAGCACGAUGUCAAAACACAACACCAUUACAAAACAAACUAAUCAAAACUAAUUUCUUAAUAGUUGCAGUCUCUGAGUAUAGCAGCAGUAACGCUGCUCUCAGCUUUGGCUUUGAUUAUAACCAGAUCCGAGUUAAUAACAUCUCUGAUUAUGAUGGAAACGUACAGCCCAGGACCAGACGGAAUAUCCAAGUCCCUUCUUGAACAGAAAAGCACGAACAUUAAUAGUCUUUUCAAGACCAUUUUUGGAAUGUGGGCAGAGCAAUAUUUUUCAACCGAGAAUUAUGUUUUAAAUACACGUACACACACACAGGCUUUUCCCAUACAUGCCAUGCCUCCUUUGCACAAAGGGUUUUAUUACCCAACAACCACAGCUAACAGAUCCUUCACAGGAAAUGAGCAUUUGGACUUCACCACUUGCAGAAACAACCCCCCACCGCAGAGCCACGUUCCAAUUUGAACAGCAAAAAACCAUUACCUCCUGCAUAAGCCCACAGAACUUUUGAAACGGUAAAAAAAUAUUAUCCUCCAGCUAAUUACUUAGAACGCCAGUGGAAUAUAUGUUUGAGCCCAGUUAGGUAUGUACUGGAAAAAUGAAGAUGUCUACUCUUCUUCUCUACUCUAAAGUUCUUAUCACCAGAAUUAAAUACGUGACUUCAGACUCCUAUUAUCGGUAUGUUCUGAUAUUGAAGGGACUUUGAGAUGCAUAUCCCAGCUGUUAUGCAGGAACACCAGUUUGCAUCAUGGCUGGGAUUAGAGAAUAACAUCCGGAGAAUGGUGGUGAAAGACUGCUUAUUUAAGGGGUAAAGGAAUAAGAAAAGUGGGGGUAAUCAAUGUAGAAGACUGUAGACAAAAUUAUUCGCAAUACUUGAAAGCCAAUAAACCAAUAUAAUUCAGGAUUACAUUCAUGAAGAAGUAUUUUUCCAGCAGUAGUAAAAAGGCAGGCUAUCCUUCAUUACUGUGGAGUCAUACAGCCACUACCACCGCAGCUUGCAUAAGGAGCCUAUCAGGGUCUGUAAGCUGCUGCCCUGUUUAUUCACUUGCAAUUAAAAUGCUGAUAAGAAAAAAACAACACAUAAUAGAUUAUUCACAUGAACACUUCAUUUAACAUUUACCACUUCCAGGACUCCAGGGCUGAGCACACACAAUUAUCUUUCAUGUAUUCUUUCUUAAUUUUCAGGAACAUAACACUCAUAACCUUUAUAUAACAGUGCCACUGUGUAAUUAAUAGAGCUAAAUGAAGCGCUGUCAGUAAAUAAUCGGUAGCCAGCCCUUGAUGGAUGAGCUGAUUCUAAUUCAGUCCAUUCACUUUCAAUUUUAAUUAGUGGCAUUGUAUUCUACAAAGCAAACAGUUCCUUCACCCUUUUGAUGAUCCAACAUUGCAUGAGAGGGCUGAGAACGACUUGCAAGGUGUCAAAAUAAAUUUGGAGUACAAAAUAAGAAGUCACAGUGAUUAUGCAUCCUUAUAUAAUGUAAUUCUUUAAAAAGAAUCAAGUAAUAUUAAAUUCCCAGAACAAAACCCAUUGGUUUUACCAAGUACCAUUCACCUCAAUAAACCCUGCUAAGACAAUCAUGACCUUCAAAGCAGUCUCUCCUCUUUCAUUAAUUAAACUAACUGAUACGAAAUACUAAGUGUAGAUUGGUGGAUUUUUUUGCUAGACAAAAAUACAGGCAUAAAAAUGCUAUGUAUUUCUACAUAAAGGUACUGAUACAGCACCAUACGUAAUCUUUCUGGUACAAUAAUCCUUGUUCCAGUUGCAUGCUCGUUGCAGCUGCUGACAAUUGCUAAGCAAACUCUUUUGAAUUGCUGGAAUUUACAGUCACUUUAGAUUACUGGAAAUUUUUCAAAUAGAUACAAGAAACUCUGAACUACUUAAGACCAUAUGCGUUACAGAAUGCUUUGAGCCAGUUUUAUGUUUUCUCCUAAACGUUAAUUCACAUUGGUAUGUCUUAUCUUUCUUCCAGCAGUUAUGUGCUAACACAGAGAGGCAUGUUCCUGUAAGGAAGCUAUAGCUACUGAGCACGUCUGAGAAGACUCCUAAUAACUACAAAGCAUCUGAUCCAGGAGUAUGUACGAUUUACUGAACGUAGGUAUUUCUCAGCAGAGGAGCAAAAUAAAACAAGUUGGGAACCUCAGCCGCUCGGUCUUCAUGUCUGUAUUGAUGCCAUAUAAUUAAAUAGUACAGGUAAAGGUUGUUUUCAAUAAAACAUUAUAUUUCAUUUUUAUCCUAGUUUCAUAUUACUUAUUAAAAAUGGUGACAUUUGAAAAGAACAGACUGUAAGAUUGCUCUUAGAGAAAGUGCCAUAAAUCUCAUAUAUUACAAUUUUUGUCAAAAAGGUUCAUGACAUUCUCAGCUUCUUUGCUGGUCAAGGCUAACUUUGUUGGUUAGUUCACUAACCUCAUUUUCUCAGCGUGUAAGAGCAUACUCUUACAAACUCAAAGCCCACAGAAGCUGUUUGCUACACAAAGACUUGAUGGAAAAAAAAACAACCCUCGCACUGAAACCUUCCAACACGCAUAGUCCAGACAGACAACAGAUGAAUAAGAUGAAG